GACGAACGCUGGCGGCGUGCUUAACACAUGCAAGUCGAACGGAAAGGCCCCUUUGGGGGUACUCGAGUGGCGGACGGGUGAGUAACACGUGAGUAACCUGCCCUUGACUUCGGGAUAACUUCCGGAAACUGGGGCUAAUACCGGAUAGGAAUCCUUGCUGCAUGGAGGGGGUUGGAAAGCUUCGGCGGUUUUGGAUGGACUCGCGGCUGAUCAGCUUGUUGGUGGGGUAGUGGCUUACCAAGGCUUUGACGGGUAGCCGGCCUGAGAGGGCGACCGACCACAUUGGGACUGAGAUACGGGCCAGACUCCUACGGGAGGCAGCAGUGGGGAAUAUUGCACCAUGGGCGGAAGCCUGAUGCCGCAACGCCGCGUGCGGGAUGACGGCCUUCGGGUUGGAAACCGCUUUCCGCAGGGGCGAAGCUUGUGGUGACGGUACCUGCAGAAGAAGCACCGGCUAACUACGUG
RNAcentral lists this ribosomal RNA (465 nucleotides) under uncultured bacterium. RNAcentral's name for it is "partial 16S ribosomal RNA". It matches the Rfam family "Bacterial small subunit ribosomal RNA", at positions 28 to 507 of the family's 1533-position model. The record is from RNAcentral.